This is a long non-coding RNA of Amaranthus tricolor (Joseph's coat), 1288 nucleotides long. RefSeq lists it as uncharacterized. The record is from RefSeq and is a predicted model, not a curated record. NCBI's taxonomy places the organism in Eukaryota, Viridiplantae, Streptophyta, Magnoliopsida, Caryophyllales, Amaranthaceae. The transcript is spliced from 2 exons.
CAUUUCCUCAAAUACUAUUCAUCUCUAAUCCCUAAACCCCUCUGCAUCUCUGCGAAGACCGCCUUAUCCUUCACUUCAUCUGAUUUUCGAACGCCAAGCACCGAUGCCCUUCUCCUUCCUCUGAUUCUUUCAAGAACUGAACAAUCCAUGGGUGUAUCUUCUUGAAACGAGGUUCGAACAAUGCAGCAGCAACUUAUACUUCCUUCCUCUAAAUCCUUCGAAUGGAAUCAGGAUGCUUAUUCAAGAUAUUCAUUUGUUCUCAACAUCUUCAGGCAUGUCUAUUUCUGGUGUCCCACAGAAUAUGGAUGAUCAUCACUUGAAUAAUAUGGGUGACUUUUCGAUGGGCUCUUUGCCUAUGAGCCUGAGGUAUCUUAGCUUGGUGUCCCUGUCUUCGGAGAUUAUUGUGGCUUAAAGGAGAGUGUAUUUUCUUUUAACCAUUUACAAAAACAUGAGUUUUGCAAAUCCUCUAUAGUCUAUUUUAAAGAACACCCAAAUUCAUUAUCUAUCUUUUGUCGUCAUUUCAGCAAUAUCUGCAUUACUAAGGGACAGACUGGCUUGGGGAUCCCUUCUUUGGACGCCUUUCUUCCCACAAAGUUUGAAAAAGGUUAAACAAGAGCUAAGAGACUAUCUAUUGGUGAGUCGACCUCAAAACAAAAGGUUGAUGUUAUGAUUAUGGGUGACUUAUGUUCACCAUGUAAUUAGGACAAUGAUUAAGGGCCUUAAUCAUUCAUGUUUGAGGUUAGAAGAGGACAAAAUACCACAAUUAUGAUGGGUAGUAUGGGAAUCAAUAGUACAUUGUACUAUUGAUCAUGUAAUCUUAGACAUGUGAAGCUUUGAAGUGUAAAACGUCAGCCCUUGGACUUGGGUAUGAAGCUUUGGAGGCCGUGGGUAUCACACAAAAGGAAAGUCAAGCAUAAAAAGAAGCCAAAACAACCUAGCAGCGUGCUAGCCUGCUGCUCCAAUGAGCAGGCCCAUUAGAUGGGUUUCUGACCUAGUUGUGUGGCAUGCUGUUGGUGUAUUGCUGUUGUCCCCACUCUUAUUUCCCUUGUAUAUACUCCUUCAUACUCUUAGUCAUUAGGCACCAAUGUCUCACAUUAGAGCAACCUUACUUGCUUGUGUAUUUACUCCCUAAUUAGCUCCUCUCUUCACACACUAAUACUCCAUUGUACUUCCUUUUAGUUUUGUAUUUCUCCACAUUAAUAUAAUCUUAGGCUAGAUAGUGGAUGUAGCCCAAGAUUGGUGAACCUCUUUAAAUACUUGUUUUGGUUAUUUAUUUAUUAUAGUCGUU